RNAcentral lists this ribosomal RNA (709 nucleotides) under uncultured bacterium. RNAcentral describes it as "bacterial SSU rRNA". It matches the Rfam family "Bacterial small subunit ribosomal RNA", at positions 57 to 768 of the family's 1533-position model. The record is from RNAcentral.
GCAGUCGACGAUGAGAGGGAGCUUGCUCCCUGGAUUAGUGGCGAACGGGUGAGUAACACGUGAGUAACCUGCCCUUGACUCUGGGAUAAGCACUGGAAACGGUGUCUAAUACCGGAUACGAACUUCAGCCGCAUGGCUAGGAGUUGGAAAGAAUUUCGGUCAAGGAUGGACUCGCGGCCUAUCAGCUAGUUGGUGAGGUAAUGGCCCACCAAGGCGACGACGGGUAGCCGGCCUGAGAGGGUGACCGGCCACACUGGGACUGAGACACGGCCCAGACUCCUACGGGAGGCAGCAGUGGGGAAUAUUGCACAAUGGGCGCAAGCCUGAUGCAGCAACGCCGCGUGAGGGACGACGGCCUUCGGGUUGUAAACCUCUUUUAGUAGGGAAGAAGCAAAGUGUUUUACAUGGAGUGACGGUACCUGCAGAAAAAGCACCGGCUAACUACGUGCCAGCAGCCGCGGUAAUACGUAGGGUGCAAGCGUUAUCCGGAAUUAUUGGGCGUAAAGAGCUCGUAGGCGGUUUGUCGCGUCUGCUGUGAAAACUGGGGGCUCAACCUCCGGCCUGCAGUGGGUACGGGCAGACUAGAGUGCGGUAGGGGAGAUUGGAAUUCCUGGUGUAGCGGUGGAAUGCGCAGAUAUCAGGAGGAACACCAAUGGCGAAGGCAGAUCUCUGGGCCGUAACUGACGCUGAGGAGCGAAAGCAUGGGGAG